UACAUAUACCCUUACUGGGUAGGUUACCCCUUUUCUGUUCUACCCUUCCUACAUCCCAUGACUUCUUUUUCAGAGUUAUCACCUGCCAUCUGGUGUCUAGCCAAAGAGACCUUACCCAAGGUCUGUUCAAAUGGAUGUACCCAAGUCAAUAAUCCAAGACAAAGGAACAGAACUGCUCAACCAAGCCCUGCCCAAACUCUUGACCCAAAGAAUCUUCAGAUAGAAUUGUGGUGGUGAAGCUCAGGGGUGAGGACGAGAGGGUGGUGGAUCCUAGAAGGAACUUGACAAUCAGAGAUAUCUGGCCCCAACGUAAGCAUAUUACAUCUUUUUUAAGCCCCAAAGGAACGAAAUGGGUAGACUGAAUCCUCCCUGCCCUACACACUGAGAGAUUACAGAGGCCUGAGAGAUAUCAGGGAUGUCCUUCAGGUACCUCAGCA
This is a long non-coding RNA of Felis catus (domestic cat), 437 nucleotides long. RefSeq lists it as uncharacterized. Lineage: Eukaryota; Metazoa; Chordata; Mammalia; Carnivora; Felidae. The record is from RefSeq and is a predicted model, not a curated record. The transcript has 3 exons.